UACAGAGGUCUCAAGCGUUGUUCGGAUUCAUUGGGCGUAAAGGGUGUGUAGGUGGCGCCGUAAGUCGGGUGUGAAAUUUCGGAGCUUAACUCCGAAACUGCAUUCGAUACUGCGGCGCUUGAGGACUGGAGAGGAGACUGGAAUUCAUGGUGUAGCAGUGAAAUGCGUAGAGAUCAUGAGGAAGACCAGUGGCGAAGGCGGGUCUCUGGACAGUUCCUGACACUGAGGCACGAAGGCCAGGGGAGCAAACGGG
Molecule: ribosomal RNA, 253 nt
Filed under: uncultured bacterium
Lineage: Bacteria
Description: partial 16S ribosomal RNA
Rfam family: Bacterial small subunit ribosomal RNA
Source: RNAcentral